UACGGAGGGUGCAAGCGUUGUCCGGAAUCACUGGGCGUAAAGGGCGCGUAGGCGGCUCAUGAAGGCUGUGGUGAAAGUCCGGGGCUCAACCUCGGAUCGGCCGUGGCGACUCGUGGGCUGGAGCACUGUAGAGGGGGAUGGAAUUCCGCGUGUAGCAGUGAAAUGCGUAGAUAUGCGGAGGAACACCGAUGGCGAAGGCAAUCCCCUGGACCUGUACUGACGCUCAUGCACGAAAGCGUGGGGAGCAAACAGG
Molecule: ribosomal RNA, 253 nt
Filed under: uncultured bacterium
Lineage: Bacteria
Description: partial 16S ribosomal RNA
Rfam family: Bacterial small subunit ribosomal RNA
Source: RNAcentral